This 301-nucleotide ribosomal RNA is filed under the name uncultured bacterium. RNAcentral describes it as "partial 16S ribosomal RNA". It matches the Rfam family "Bacterial small subunit ribosomal RNA", at positions 509 to 807 of the family's 1533-position model. The record is from RNAcentral.
CAGCAGCCGCGGGAAUACGAAGGGGGCUAGCGUUGUUCGGAAUUACUGGGCGUAAAGCGCACGUAGGCGGAUACUUAAGUCAGGGGUGAAAUCCCGGGGCUCAACCCCGGAACUGCCUUUGAUACUGGGUAUCUCGAGUCCGGAAGAGGUGAGUGGAAUUCCGAGUGUAGAGGUGAAAUUCGUAGAUAUUCGGAGGAACACCAGUGGCGAAGGCGGCUCACUGGUCCGGUACUGACGCUGAGGUGCGAAAGCGUGGGGAGCAAACAGGAUUAGAUACCCCAGUAGUCCCUGUCUCUUAUAC